Long non-coding RNA from Pseudoliparis swirei, 3368 nucleotides. RefSeq lists it as uncharacterized. The transcript is spliced from 3 exons. Lineage: Eukaryota; Metazoa; Chordata; Actinopteri; Perciformes; Liparidae. The record is from RefSeq and is a predicted model, not a curated record.
GACCGAGACCACUGAAUAAUCGGGUCUGUGCAGUCCCUCUUAUUCAAAGACGUCUCUGUUCUCUUUAAUACCUCCCAUCCAUGUUCUUUGUCCCGGGGCUCUCGUCUCCACUUUCUCCCGUUUUCCGUGCUCUGGUCUCCCGUCAGUGCGCAGCUGUUGUCGGCACUCCCACAUCUGCUGGUCUCCGCUCGGCGGCCAUGCAGACGACGCUCAGCCGCGGCUCGAGGAGGUGCGUACAGCCCGGAGGUGCAGGGCGCGACCAGCCUUCUAUACUGCGGGCAAAUCAAAGCGCACACACGGCAUGUAUUUGCUAGUUCGGCAGCAUUGAAGAAGAAGAAGAAAAAGAAGAAGAUAUUUUCGCCAUCGCCUGAUGCUGCGGGUCACGUGCAUUGUGGAACCUGGACAUCACUGGAAACCUACUGGAUUCAUCUACAGAGCUGCUGUCAUGUCGCCGGUCGGGACACUGGGAGGAUCCAAAUCGGAACCAACAGCAGGACAGGUUAUGUGUAUAUUUAUUGAAAAAACACAAAGGAUAGUUUUUAAUGGGACACAAUAUCAGAUGUAGAAUGUAGUAGUAGUAUAGCCAGAUAACUGACACUAUAGCUCCUAUCUGCUGGCAGUAGGUGUACUCAUCUGUCUUCAACAAAAAGCAGUAAGGAGAAAGAAUAAUACGAAAGAACAUGUAACAGUUUUGCCUCCCACUUUUCUGCUGCUUUGUGUUUUGUAUUCCUCUCCAGUUACACGGAUGAAGGAGCAGACCGGUGCUCGCUCUGGACCUCACAGCUCCAUCGCCCUCUGCUGUGCUGCCUCGCAGACCGCCGUCGGGUCAUUCCUCAAGCAGCGAUCGAUGCACGGUGCCACCGCCGAUGUCCAGACCCUCCGAAGGAAAGGAUCCCUGUCCAGGUGUUUCCCCACUGAGAGACGACCUCUGCUGCUUCUAUGUAUCACUGAAAAGGGCUUUGAAGAGUUCAAAAUGCCACUGCUGCUUUGUAGACCGUGGCAACGGCUGGUGUUUUGAGUCCAAAAAAUGAUUUGCUCGAGCGCUCCUUCCCUUUUUAAAUGCACACCUUCUCUCGGCUGUGAGUAAUACUAAUAUAGCUUCAUCCACCCCCGCGAUCACCAGUUUUUUGGCUGAUCUAAACCAACCUGCGGCCAACAAGCACCUCUCACGCUUGUUUUCUUCAGCUGCGUGUGCGUUGACCUUUUCGCUCCAUUGCCUUGGCUUCCCUGUCCAACACUUUGGACACUUUUCCUCUCAUAAGACACUUUCAAUUCACCAGAAAUUAUGUUUCUACAUGUGCUCACUAGUCACCAAUGAUAACAUUGAUCAGUGCCAGAUCCAGAACUGGAAAGUUUUGAUAUUUUGUGGCAUAACAUGAAAACAAAUCUGUUUUAAGUGAGAGAGAAUGACUAGUUUUCUCACAUCUUGACAAUGUGUAAUUCACACAGUAUGUUAUUUUUUUGUCUUGAAACCUAACUUAAUUUUGGCGUGAGAACAAUUACUUUUAUGGUUCUACUGUGUGUACUCUGUAUUUUUACUGUCGUGUGUGGGCAGGUGUGUGUCAGUGUGUGUUUGUGUGCAUGUGCUCUAUUUAUUAGUGUGUUUAUUCCUCUAUGUGUGCAUGUGUCUGUGUGAUAAAACACUUUUGUAGUUGGCCUUAAGCUACGACCUGCUUUUCAGUGGAUUUCGCAUUGCUGCACAUAUUUAAAAUGCUUGAAUCUGUCUUCUUUUAACACGUUGAAUGCACCAGACAAAGGAUGAAAACACAUUUACAAAUGAUUCUUAGCAUUUGUUCAGGCCUCAUUGAAGUACCAGUUAGGUGGGGGUUCUUAUGAUUUAGAUAAUCACAAGAAUCACGCUGGAAAUGAAUGGUGUGUAGUUUUCAAAAUAAUGCCUUCUGGCAUUAAUGAAACUGACCCGAUGUCUACUUCCCCAUCAUCUGAUACUCCCGCAAAUUACAGCAAAUGCUAAUAAUUAUGUGCAAAUAGCUUUUUACCCAGGUCUGGAUUCUACUAACAAAAUCUGACUAAUAUCUAACAAUACUAAUGUCUGCUAACAGUGGGAUGACUACUAACCUGUACUCUGAAUGCUGACGGCUGGCUCUGUUCUUUCUAAUCCGCUGACUAACCCUCUGCUUUAUGCCCGCAGUCCGAUGCACAUGCUCCUCUCUCAUGAUCCUGCAAUCCUUCUUCUAGAAAUCACAGACUAAGAGGAAUUAUUAAAGAAGGCAAUGUAUGAAAACUGUUAAAGUGAGCACGUCUAGAAGGGUUUCAGGACUUGGGAAGGUAAAUGUUAUUAACCACUCGAUGGAAAGAGGAGGAGGAUCAGCUGCUUAUGUCCAAUUGGGUUGACCACAUAUUUAAGAAUCCUCACAAAACCCAUUCUGAUCAAAAUGUAAUACCACUUCAUUCACAGGCUAAAUUCACAUCUUCAGAGACUGUUUUUCUGUCUCUACCUGUGUGGUCAACCCUUGCAGAUGAGUGCCUGGCUUGUCGUCAGAAACCUCAACUCCACUACUAAUUUAUUACGGUACUGAUACUAACAGUGGUGAGGCUCUGAAGACCCACCUGUUGCUCUGACUAACAUCCGUGUUCCUUGUGACGGACACAUCCGCAAUCAAAUUAUUCCGUCUCUUUGUUCUUCUUUAAUUAAAUCAAAGCAUGCCUUGUGGCGCUAGGGCUGCUUAUUAAAUGUCAGUACACGGAAGCUUUUAUAAAAAGCUUCUUCUAGUGCCAUGAGUGUGUGUGCUUUAAAGCAAUGGAAGCUAAGUCCUACAGAUCUAACCGUGUCGAUGACAUGCACUUCAGAAAUCUUUCUAAACAAGGAACUAACAUCUCCUAAAGUUAAAUGAACAGGUACUAACCACAUCUAUUGUAUUAGGUCUCUGCAAACUAACAAACUAACAAACUAACCCACUAAUGAACUAAUAAUCUAACAAAAACUAACUAAAUUCACUAACUUUGUGCUAAGUGGAAGAAUUAGUUGAAGCACCCUGUUUUAAGGAGUUGCAUCACUUAUUGAAUGUACUAACAGAAUUUAGUUUUUUUAGAAUGACUUAUUGAUGUUCCUGUCUAUACGUGUGUGAAAGAAAGAGCGUGUGUGUGUGUGUGUGAUUGUGUUUAUUCUCUUAAACAAUACAUUUAACAUAUCAAUGCAGAUUAUAUUCAUGGUGCCGUUUUAGCCCAAUGCAUCCACAGUCACUGGCUCCUCUGGUCCUGAGCCUCAGGAUACAAUCCUUAAACCUUCCAAACAAUACACUGUGUGAAGUGUCAUGGAUGUAAAGACAAAUAAAUAUAAUGUACACAACUAGUUUUGGACUAUAUUGCUAAUUUAUCAGUUGUCCUUUUACAUGUUCUUGAAAUAAACA